RNAcentral lists this transfer RNA (73 nucleotides) under Camelus bactrianus (Bactrian camel). It matches the Rfam family "tRNA". Rfam says of the family: Transfer RNA (tRNA) molecules are approximately 80 nucleotides in length. Their secondary structure includes four short double-helical elements and three loops (D, anti-codon, and T loops). Lineage: Eukaryota; Metazoa; Chordata; Mammalia; Artiodactyla; Camelidae. RNAcentral also lists the same sequence under 2 other names. The record is from Rfam by way of RNAcentral.
GAGGGUAUAGCUAUAGUGGUAGAGCACGUGCUUAGCAUGCACAAGGUCCUGGGUUCAAUCCCUAGCGCCUUCA